AGUCAGCUGACGCGUCCGAAACAGGACGAAACGCGUGUCCUGAAU
Molecule: non-coding RNA, 45 nt
Filed under: Schistosoma margrebowiei
Lineage: Eukaryota; Metazoa; Platyhelminthes; Trematoda; Strigeidida; Schistosomatidae
Source: RNAcentral